This 311-nucleotide long non-coding RNA is filed under the name Salvia miltiorrhiza (redroot sage). Its description in RNAcentral is "long non-coding RNA (SMIL_LNC013339)". The record is from RNAcentral. Lineage: Eukaryota; Viridiplantae; Streptophyta; Magnoliopsida; Lamiales; Lamiaceae.
UUAAAAUUAGCUCCAGAAUACACCACCUUUUAAUUUAGUUGCAAUUUGCACAUGCGUUGACCAGUACCUUGAUCGGUGUUGACGUGGCGCUCGGAAUUUUCAGACGUGGACUCACCGGCAUUCAAAACGACGUCGUUUUGAGUGAGUAUAAAUAAAAAAAUUAAAAAAAACACAAAAAAAAGAGAGAAAUCUUUUCUAGUUCUUCCUCACCGGCCUUUUCUGCUCUCUCUCUCUACGCAGAUGGCCUCACAACGGUGGUUAUGGUGGACGGUGGUGGUGGUUAUUUGGAAAUCUGGAGAUCUGCAAAUCUG